AACUUGAGGGCUGUCCAUCCAGACUAUGGAAACCGGGUUCAGAAUCUUCUCAACAAGUUCAAUAAUGAGGCCCAGCAGAACACACCCGUGCAUGUCUACAGCCGUCCAGGAGUCUCGGCCGUCGCCGCAUUCUCCAAGAUGUGAUGCCUUAAAUUUCCAGAAGGGGCAGCACCCUCAUGUAUCGCAGAGCAAAUGCACUUCUUGAUUAACAACUGCUACUAAGAGUAACGAGAUUGGACUAAAAAAUUAGUAUAAUGACGAGACUGAAACACCGACUUGUAAUGUGAGGGUUGUGUUUUUUGUUUUUUUUCAUUCAGUCCAUCCAAACAGUUGAUUUUCCUCAAAAUCCUCAAAGCUUUCAAUAUUCAGCAGAUUCUUUAUCUCUGUCAUUUGUCUUGAUUGAACACUAAUUUAAAAAACAGAUGAAGUUGUUUAGUUGUUAUUUUCUUUACAGACUGAAACAAAGACCACUAUGGCAACUAAUGUUAACUAGAUCGAGUACAGCAUGACGAAAUGGAGGGCUUGCCUUUGACCAAAUAUGGCCUCAAUGCUAAUGUUUGUUUGUUUUUAAAUAUAGGUGUGAUUGAAGUUUCAAGUUCAACCUCAGCUUCUUCCAUGUACCAGGAUGAGUGAUUAUUUCUUAGGUUAUGUUUGUAUGUUGGAUUGAUUUAUCUUUCUCCAAAAAAAAAUCCAAAUCAGCUAUUCUGUUAGUCUUCUUUUAACAUUCACAUGUGAUUCAAUGUGUGACAUAUUCAGCAUUAAUCUCCGAUCAGGUUGUAAAAUACAUUGAUUUUUUUAUGUAGUGUUGGCACUACUUCUUUGCAAGAAGCAGUAUUUUUGUUUUUCACUGCAGGCAAUCAUAAGCGUUGGCUUGUUUUCCUCACGAUUGACUGAACCUCAAAAAUCAUUGCAUUCUUCAUGAGAAGAACUUUCAAACUGAAAUGAUUUUUCAGUUUGAUCUGGAGGUGUUUGUGGGCGCGUGCAUGUCAGUAAUGCAGUUUACAAAAA
Labrus bergylta (ballan wrasse) is the source of this 1008-nucleotide non-coding RNA. The record is from RefSeq and is a predicted model, not a curated record. Lineage: Eukaryota; Metazoa; Chordata; Actinopteri; Labriformes; Labridae.